GGGGUUCUGGUGUAAUUGGUAGCACGUCAGCCUUGCACGUUGUUAGUAGCGGUUCAAGUCCGCUGAACUCCA
RNAcentral lists this transfer RNA (72 nucleotides) under Oltmannsiellopsis viridis. RNAcentral's name for it is "tRNA-Ala". It matches the Rfam family "tRNA". Rfam says of the family: Transfer RNA (tRNA) molecules are approximately 80 nucleotides in length. Their secondary structure includes four short double-helical elements and three loops (D, anti-codon, and T loops). Further hydrogen bonds mediate the characteristic L-shaped molecular structure. tRNAs have two regions of fundamental functional importance: the anti-codon, which is responsible for specific mRNA codon recognition, and the 3' end, to which the tRNAs corresponding amino acid is attached (by aminoacyl-tRNA synthetases). tRNAs cope with the degeneracy of the genetic code in two manners: having more than one tRNA (with a specific anti-codon) for a particular amino acid; and 'wobble' base-pairing, i.e. permitting non-standard base-pairing at the 3rd anti-codon position. The record is from RNAcentral. Lineage: Eukaryota; Viridiplantae; Chlorophyta; Ulvophyceae; Oltmannsiellopsidales; Oltmannsiellopsidaceae.